CAGUUUGUUUUCGUGGGUUCGCAGUUCUAACCUAACCUAACCCACUUUUCUGGCAACAUUCAUUUUCUUGGGGGUCGCAGUUCUAACCUAACCUAACCCACCUUUCAGGCAACAGUUUGUUUUCGUGGGGUCGCAGUUCUAACCUAACCUAACCCACUUUUCUGGCAACAGUUCGUUUUCUCGGGGUCGCAGUUCUAACCUAACCUAACCCACUUUUCUAGUAGCAUUUCGUUUCUGUAUAGGGCGCAGUUCAAACCUAACCUAACCCACUUUUCUAGUAGCAUUCCUUUUCUGUAAGGGUCGCAGUUCAAACCUAACCUAAUCCACUUUUCUAGUAGCAUUUCUUUUCUGUAAGGGUCGCAGUUCAAACCUAACCUAACCCACUUUUCUAGUAGGAUUUCUUUUCUGUAUGGGUCGCAGUUCUAACCUAACUUAACCCACUUUUCUAGUAGCAUUUCUUUUCUGUAAGGGUCGCAGUUUAAACCUAACCUAACCCACUUUUCUAGUAGCAUUUCUUUUCUGUAAGAGUCGCAGUUCAAACCUAACCUAACCCACUUUUCUUGUAGCAUUUCGUUUCCGUAAGGGUCGCAGUUCAAACUUAACCUAACCCACUUUUCUUGUAGCAUUU
Cydia amplana is the source of this 628-nucleotide long non-coding RNA. RefSeq lists it as uncharacterized. The transcript is spliced from 3 exons. The record is from RefSeq and is a predicted model, not a curated record. Lineage: Eukaryota; Metazoa; Arthropoda; Insecta; Lepidoptera; Tortricidae.